AGAACGAACGCUGGCGGCAUGCCUAACACAUGCAAGUCGAACGAGACCUUCGGGUCUAGUGGCGCACGGGUGCGUAACGCGUGGGAACCUGCCUUGAGGUUCGGAAUAACUCCCCGAAAGGGGUGCUAAUACCGGAUAAUGUCUUCGGACCAAAGAUUUAUCGCCUUUAGAUGGGCCCGCGUUGGAUUAGCUAGUUGGUGGGGUAAAGGCCUACCAAGGCGACGAUCCAUAGCUGGUCUGAGAGGAUGAUCAGCCACACUGGGACUGAGACACGGCCCAGACUCCUACGGGAGGCAGCAGUGGGGAAUAUUGGACAAUGGGCGAAAGCCUGAUCCAGCAAUGCCGCGUGAGUGAUGAAGGCCUUAGGGUUGUAAAGCUCUUUUACCAGGGAUGAUAAUGACAGUACCUGGAGAAUAAGCUCCGGCUAACUCCGUGCCAGCAGCCGC
This 446-nucleotide ribosomal RNA is filed under the name uncultured bacterium. RNAcentral's name for it is "SSU rRNA". It matches the Rfam family "Bacterial small subunit ribosomal RNA", at positions 26 to 518 of the family's 1533-position model. The record is from RNAcentral.